Molecule: ribosomal RNA, 405 nt
Filed under: uncultured bacterium
Lineage: Bacteria
Description: bacterial SSU rRNA
Rfam family: Bacterial small subunit ribosomal RNA
Source: RNAcentral
AAUGGACGAAAGUCUGACGGAGCAACGCCGCGUGAGUGAUGAAGGCUUUCGGGUCGUAAAACUCUGUUGUCAGGGAAGAACAUCCGGGAUGACCUCCCGGUCUGACGGUACCUGAUCAGAAAGCCCCGGCUAACUACGUGCCAGCAGCCGCGGUAAUACGUAGGGGGCAAGCGUUGUCCGGAAUUAUUGGGCGUAAAGCGCGCGCAGGCGGUUUCUUAAGUCUGGUGUGAAAGCCCGCAGCUCAACUGCGGAGGGCCACUGGAAACUGGGAAGCUUGAGUGUAGGAGAGGAGAGCGGAAUUCCACGUGUAGCGGUGAAAUGCGUAGAUAUGUGGAGGAACACCCGUGGCGAAAGCGGCUCUCUGGCCUAUAACUGACGCUGAGGCGCGAAAGCGUGGGGAGCAAA